GAAAGUGUGCGGUAAUGGUAUUUAGCGCUGCUGGUUCAAAAUACACAUUGUGGAUGAUCCAUUGACAUUUCUCUCUACAACAUUUCAGUUUCGUUUAUUGUAGUAUCAUAAAGUUUCCUGCCURUCCGGACCGCUGUGCUUCAUGCGCAAUAGACUGAGAAUUUGAGUACAGUACAUAGGAAAUGACUCAUAGGAGUUCAACUGUUAGCGUGGGUGUGUACUCUAUUAAAACAAGGCUCAGACUACUCCGGAUGACUCAGUGCGAGGCUAGCUUUCAAUGGUGAAAACCAACACGGGCUGUUCUUCAGAUGAACUUUCGGGAAUUGCGUUUAUACAAGAACGAUGGCUUCAUACGUUCUCUGUGCGCUUUGUGGACUGAUCAUUGCGACUAUAGUGAAACUAAACGGAGUGAAUGGGCAAAGCCUAUGCACCAGUAAAGAGUUCUGGAGUUCAGACAUAGACCAAUGUGUAUCCUGCUCAACAUGUAAGCAGUAUCCAAAGACCCCUUCAUGUAACACUUGCACAUUUACAGAGGAGAGAUCUGAUGUCUGGAGACUGGCAGCCAUUUCCAGCUUCUCUGUGCUGGCAGUCGUUCUGCUCAUUGCAGUGUUGAUCAUUGGGGUCAUGGUGCAUCGACGCACGGCAAACAAUAGGCCCCUUCGUGAACCUAUUGAAGAGACAACGGGACCUCUUUACCAAGCUUAAACAUUUCACUUCAUCUUCCUCCUGACAUCGAUGUGACAGAACCAAGGGAACACCUUUUGAGGACCAAUCGUCAGAAGAAUUUCUGUACAAUGGACUGUGGGUAUUAUUUGAGCAGAGUUUGAAUUGAUACUGCUAGUUAGUAAAGGUGUGCUCACACUCAUUAGACUGUUACAGAACGGAGCUCUCACAUAGAGCUGUGUUGACUCCCGCUGUCAAUCCCGUCUUGUCUGAAGUCAGACUGUGCUCUGAGGAAGACCAUGUGGUUAGUAAAGAGUAGCUCUCACAGCUCUUUUGGUAUUGAUGUCCUUUGAGUUAUGAUGCUAGUUUUAGCCAGUGUAGAUAUUCCAAUCUAUCGAUAAGUCAUUUGUUCAACAAUAAGUAGGUUCAAAAACAGUAGUGAACAUGAGACACAUCUUGAAUGAUUUGUAUUUAUUACCAUAACUGUCAAUGCUUGAUCACCUAUUACUGUAUUGGUGUCAGACAUUUAGCUUAUUAGGUAGAAUACCAGCUAACACACUGCCUCGACUUGCCACAAGCAGGAUGAAUGUGAAUACAGCACAAUCAAGCUUUCUGGGCCAGGUUUGACCUACUGUACUUCUAAGACUAAAAGGUUUAUAUUUGCUGGUCAUAUAACAACCCUUUGGUGAAGUAUACAAGUGAUAUGUUAGAUGAGUGGUCAGCAACCAGUCGAUCGGUUAUAUAAAAUAUAUUUUGAUUCGUUGAAAACUUUUUUUGGGUGACUACAUGAUUCCAUGUGUUAUUUC
This is a non-coding RNA of Salvelinus sp. IW2-2015, 1469 nucleotides long. NCBI's taxonomy places the organism in Eukaryota, Metazoa, Chordata, Actinopteri, Salmoniformes, Salmonidae. The record is from RefSeq and is a predicted model, not a curated record.